CUUCUCAGACUUGGGAGAAGAAAGCUGCUUCUCUAUGCAGGGGAGCUCCUAGGGACUUGGAGUUCCACAGUUCUUCGUGUCACAUGAACCCAAGCAGAAGUUCCUGUCCAACUCUCAGAAUUCACAGUGAAGCCGUGAAUUCAGUUUACACUAUAACUCAUACAACUGAAUUUUGGUUUUGAUUUGCAGCAAAAUUAUCUCUCUGGCUACAAGAAAUAAGAAGAUAUUUAGGUUUUCAUAGGACCACUCCAGUUCUCUGUGACUUUAUCCAAGUUAAUUGAGGCUUUUGUUUUUUCUACAGAUGCUCCAGAAAAAUCACAAGAAUCCACCCCAUUACCACAGCAUCACAGUCCUCCUGACUUUGUGUGUCAAGAGCAGCAACCCAUUAUUUACUGAAAAUGCUCUCUUCAGUUGUAGUUUAUCUUAAUCAAGCACAGCUUUUUGAAAUACUUCUCAUAUCCACAGAGGACAGCAUCCUUCCCAAUGAGCAUCUCAGACAUAGCUGGAAGAGAAAAAAGGAAGCAUAGCCUAGAAGGCAGGAGCAAGGGCACAUGGAGCAUCCUGGACAAGCAAUUGUACUCUGGACACUGACCCAGCUUCAAACAAGGAGUUUCUCCUGGUUCCAGGCCCGAGGCGCUUAAUAACUCCUAUCCAGGAUAAAUUCUAGCUGAUUCUCGUGGAGUUCUGUGAAGGCACCUUCCCUCCUUGAGUAAUCCUGCAGGAACAAAGAUGGUACUACUGGCAAAUGUUAAGUCAUCACAGUACUUUAGUGACUCUUUUCUGCUUCUUGGUGGAUUGUAUUAACUCUACAAGUCUUUGCACCUGGCCUCAAAGAAGUUUGAUCUCAAAUCUCAGAGGCUGGCAAGAUGUAAACAAAAGUCUAAACAUUACCUGAUGCCUUCCUGCACAGCUGAACUUGGCGUUACUCUUGGGUUCUGUAGGUCCAUUCCGUGCAUGCCAACGUCACCUCCUAGCUGUUUCAUCAAAGACUCAGAAAAUGCUUAUGUUUUGAACAUUCAGUUUCGUUUUAUGGCUUUGAUCAACAAUUCAUUCUCAUCUUUCUCUACAUUUGUCUUUAUUGCUAUCUGACUUUCUUCCUUGUGAGGUUUUUUGUAUUAAUUUGUACUGUGUGUGACUUUUGAGUCCUGGGUCCUACACUUGAAUUAGAGCAGAGUUCUGCAACAGUUCUAAAGAAAUUCUGAUCUCAAUAAAAUCGAAUAUUAAUAAGAGGAUGGAGGGAGGGAGAAAAGAAUAUAACAAAGAAAGUUUUACUUUUAUAUGGAUUUUUGAUUUACAGGGUUUCAACAGUCAUUAUCCUAAUAUUAUAAAGACACAGAGAGUAUACACCAUUAGUCAGUCCUUGCCAUCUUUAAUCACUUCUUGUGGUAAUGUAGAUUAGUGAUUGGAUCCCAUUAUUUGAUUUCAACAAAUAAAAUGGAUUGAUGGAAAUACAAAUAAUGGUUUUGACACAGCAUAGAUUAAUAAAAAUUGUGUAAUGCUUAUAAAUCUCAAUUUUAUAUGCUAUGACAUAGGGAAAAUAUUUAUCAUAAAACAUAAAUUAAUAACUAUCAAAGUAAGGAUAACGUCUUGCCUGUGGAUACAUUUUUUGGAUUGAAGUGUUUUUUUCUUUUAAUAGUUAGUGAAAAUAACAAUAAUACAUAAAAUUUAACCUUCUGAAUUCAGAUUCCUUCUGAAUCUGACCAACUAAUGAUGCUUUUCAUUUCUGCAAUUAUUUUUCAGGUAAUUUUCUUGAGUUUUCUAAUUAUAUUUUCACAUCAGAAAAGUAUUAAACUGUUAC
Lepus europaeus (European hare) is the source of this 1798-nucleotide long non-coding RNA. RefSeq lists it as uncharacterized. The record is from RefSeq and is a predicted model, not a curated record. The transcript is spliced from 3 exons. Lineage: Eukaryota; Metazoa; Chordata; Mammalia; Lagomorpha; Leporidae.